CAGCAGUCGCCACGGGAAUACGGAGGGUGCAAGCGUUAUCCGGAUUUAUUGGGUUUAAAGGGUCCGUAGGCGGAUCUGUAAGUCAGUGGUGAAAUCUCACAGCUUAACUGUGAAACUGCCAUUGAUACUGCAGGUCUUGAGUAAAUUUGAAGUGGCUGGAAUAAGUAGUGUAGCGGUGAAAUGCAUAGAUAUUACUUAGAACACCAAUUGCGAAGGCAGGUCACUAAGAUUUAACUGACGCUGAUGGACGAAAGCGUGGGGAGCGAACAGGAUUAGAUACCCCAGUAGUCCCUGUCUCUUAUAC
This 304-nucleotide ribosomal RNA is filed under the name uncultured bacterium. Its description in RNAcentral is "partial 16S ribosomal RNA". It matches the Rfam family "Bacterial small subunit ribosomal RNA", at positions 506 to 807 of the family's 1533-position model. The record is from RNAcentral.